This 253-nucleotide ribosomal RNA is filed under the name uncultured bacterium. RNAcentral's name for it is "partial 16S ribosomal RNA". It matches the Rfam family "Bacterial small subunit ribosomal RNA", at positions 524 to 776 of the family's 1533-position model. The record is from RNAcentral.
UACAGAGGUCUCAAGCGUUGUUCGGAUUCAUUGGGCGUAAAGGGUGCGUAGGUGGCGCCGUAAGUCAGGUGUGAAAUCUCGGGGCUCAACCCCGAAACUGCACUUGAUACUGCGGUGCUUGAGUACUGGAGAGGAGAUUGGAAUUUACGGUGUAGCAGUGAGAUGCGUAGAUAUCGUAAGGAAGACCAGUGGCGAAGGCGAAUCUCUGGACAGUUACUGACACUGAGGCACGAAGGCCAGGGGAGCAAACGGG